AUUGAACGCUGGCGGCAGGCCUAACACAUGCAAGUCGAACGAGUGGCGGACGGGUGAGUAAUGUCUGGGAAACUGCCUGAUGGAGGGGGAUAACUACUGGAAACGGUAGCUAAUACCGCAUACCAUCGGAUGUGCCCAGAUGGGAUUCGCUAGUAGGUGGGGUAAAGGCUCACCUAGGCGACGAUCCCUCGCUGGUCUGAGAGGAUGACCAGCCAAACGGGAACUGGGACGCGGUCCAGACGCCUACGGGAGGAAGAAGGGGGGAAUAUGGCACAAGGGGCGCAAGCAUGAUGAAGCCAGGCCGCGUGUAUGAAGAAGGCUGUCGGGUUGUAAAGUACUUUCAGCGGGGAGGCGUUACCCGCAGAAGAAGCACCGGCUAACUCCGUGCCAGCAGCCGCGGUAAUA
This 405-nucleotide ribosomal RNA is filed under the name uncultured bacterium. RNAcentral describes it as "partial 16S ribosomal RNA". It matches the Rfam family "Bacterial small subunit ribosomal RNA", at positions 29 to 525 of the family's 1533-position model. The record is from RNAcentral.